CACGCCGUAAACGAUGGAUACUAGCUGUUGGGAGCAAUCUCAGUGGCUAAGCGAAAGUGAUAAGUAUCCCACCUGGGGAGUACGUUCGCAAGAAUGAAACUCAAAGGAAUUGACGGGGGCCCGCACAAGCGGUGGAGCAUGUGGUUUAAUUCGAUGAUACGCGAGGAACCUUACCAAGGCUUAAAUGUAGAUUGACCGGACUGGAAACAGUUUUUUCGCAAGACAAUUUACAAGGUGC
RNAcentral lists this ribosomal RNA (238 nucleotides) under uncultured bacterium. Its description in RNAcentral is "partial 16S ribosomal RNA". It matches the Rfam family "Bacterial small subunit ribosomal RNA", at positions 796 to 1041 of the family's 1533-position model. The record is from RNAcentral.